This 454-nucleotide ribosomal RNA is filed under the name uncultured organism. RNAcentral describes it as "partial 16S ribosomal RNA". It matches the Rfam family "Bacterial small subunit ribosomal RNA", at positions 329 to 799 of the family's 1533-position model. The record is from RNAcentral.
ACGUACACUCCUGCGGGAGGCAGCAUUGGGGAAUAUUGGACAAUGGGCGCAAGCCUGAUCCAGCCAUGCCGCGUGAGUGAUGAAGGCCCUAGGGUUGUAAAGCUCUUUCACCGGUGAAGAUAAUGACGGUAACCGGAGAAGAAGCCCCGACUAACUUCGUGCCAGCAGCCGCGGUAAUACGAAGGGGGCUAGCGUUGUUCGGAUUUACUGGGCGUAAAGCGCACGUAGGCGGACUAUUAAGUCAGGGGUGAAAUCCCGGGGCUCAACCCCGGAACUGCCUUUGAUACUGGUAGUCUUGAGUUCGAGAGAGGUGAGUGGAAUUCCGAGUGUAGAGGUGAAAUUCGUAGAUAUUCGGAGGAACACCAGUGGCGAAGGCGGCUCACUGGUUCGAUACUGACGCUGAGGUGCGAAAGCGUGGGGAGCAAACAGGAUUAGAUACCCUAGUAGUCCCAUG